GGAAGGCAGACCAGUGGGUGAAAUUAUCGGGACCAAUUGUGCGCACAGCCCAUGAAUCAAAUCAUGGCGGCGUCGUGUGAAUGAAACGGACCCUUCCGGGUGUAUAAAGCACCUUUCAGGUGAGGGAAGGAAAAUCCUCGGGGGCUAACGACCCCUCGAAGGGAAGGACAUCACCCACCAAGAAGAAGCACCCGGCUAACUCCCGGGCCAGCAGCCGCGGUAAUACGGAGGGGUGCGAGCGUUAAUCCGAAAUUACUGGGCGUAAAAGCGCGCGUAGGCGGCCUGAUAAAGCCGGUUGUGAAAGCCCCCGGGCUCAACCCUGGGAACGGCAUCCGGAACUGUCAGGGCUAGAGUGCAGGAGAGGAAGGUAGAAUUCCCGGUGUAGCGGUGAAAUUGCGUAGAGAUCGGGAGGAAUACCAGUGGGCGAAGGCGGCCUUCUGGACUGACACUGACGCUGAGGUGCGAAAGCGUGGGUAGCAAACAGGAUUUAGAUACCCUGGUAGUCCACGCCGUAAACGAUGUCGACUAGCCGUUGGGGUCCUUGAGACCUUUGUGGCGCAGUUAACGCGAUAAGUCGACCGCCUGGGGAGUACGGCCGCAAGGUUAAAACUCAAAUGAAUUGACGGGGGCCCGCACAAGCGGUGGAGCAUGUGGUUUAAUUCGAUGCAACGCGAAGAACCUUACCUACCCUUGACAUCGAGAGAACUUGGCAGAGAUGCCUUGGUGCCUUCGGGAACUCUCAGACAGGUGCUGCAUGGCCGUCGUCAGCUCGUGUUGUGAAAUGUUGGGUUAAGUCCCGUAACGAGCGCAACCCUUGUCCCUAUUUGCCAGCGAUUCGGUCGGGAACUCUAGGGAGACUGCCGGUGACAAACCGGAGGAAGGUGGGGACGACGUCAGGUCAUCAUGGCCCUUACGGGUAGGGCUACACACGUGCUACAAUGGCCGGUACAAAGGGUUGCGAAGCCGCGAGGUGGAGCCAAUCCCGAAAAGCCGGUCUCAGUCCGGAUCGGAGUCUGCAACUCGACUCCGUGAAGUCGGAAUCGCUAGUAAUCGUGAAUCAGAAUGUCACGGUGAAUACGUUCCCGGGCCUUGUACACACCGCCCGUCACACCAUGGGAGUGGACUGCACCAGAAGUGGUUAGCCUAACUCGGAGGGCGUCACCCACGGUUGUUACCU
This 1177-nucleotide ribosomal RNA is filed under the name Halomonas shengliensis. Its description in RNAcentral is "bacterial SSU rRNA". It matches the Rfam family "Bacterial small subunit ribosomal RNA", at positions 343 to 1471 of the family's 1533-position model. Lineage: Bacteria; Pseudomonadati; Pseudomonadota; Gammaproteobacteria; Oceanospirillales; Halomonadaceae. The record is from RNAcentral.